Molecule: ribosomal RNA, 655 nt
Filed under: Tashiroea amoena
Lineage: Eukaryota; Viridiplantae; Streptophyta; Magnoliopsida; Myrtales; Melastomataceae
Description: eukaryotic LSU rRNA
Rfam family: 5.8S ribosomal RNA (bases 261-416)
Source: RNAcentral
CAUUGUCGAAAUCGAACGGAAGAACGACCCGCGAACAGUCAUUUCGUACCAUACAGGGACCGUGGGAGCGCAACGCUCGUGCGGCUCGCGUCGCGUCGGCGCGGACGUACCCGAGGCCCGCGUCGUACCGACGGAAAUACAUUGUCAGCACGGAUCGUGCCAAGGAGCUUCAUGGAGAGAAUCGUCGUCCCGCGCCCACGGCUGCCCUCGUUGAGGCGCUCGAGGCGGGGGACGUGCGCGAUCUCUGCUAAAGUCUAAAUGACUCUCGGCAACGGAUAUCUCGGCUCUUGCAUCGAUGAAGAACGUAGCGAAAUGCGAUACUUGGUGUGAAUUGCAGAAUCCCGCGAACCAUCAAUUCUUUGAACGCAAGUUGCGCCCGAAGCCAUUCGGCCGAGGGCACGCCUGCCUGGGUGUCGUGAAUCCCAUUGCCCCAGGGCACCCGUGUCCAUGCAUGCGCAUUGGCGGGGAAACGCUCGGGCGCAGAACGUGGCCUCCCGCGGAAUCGGCAUGCGUGUCGUGUCGAGGCGUGGUUGGCCGAAAAUUGAGAAUGGAAGUGACGGGCACCACGUCGUUCGGUGGAUCGAACUAGAUUGAUUUGGCUGCGUCUUGGUCUCGUCACGCGUCUCGCUCAGGGCUUCGAUGUUCCCGAGUGCGA